This 253-nucleotide ribosomal RNA is filed under the name uncultured bacterium. RNAcentral's name for it is "partial 16S ribosomal RNA". It matches the Rfam family "Bacterial small subunit ribosomal RNA", at positions 524 to 776 of the family's 1533-position model. The record is from RNAcentral.
UACAGAGACUGCGAGCGUUAUUCGGAUUCACUGGGCGUAAAGGGUGCGCAGGCGGCCGUGUGUGUCAGGUGUGAAAUCUCGAGGCUUAACCUCGAAAUUGCGCCUGAAACUACACGGCUAGAGUACUGGAGAGGGAAACGGAAUUCACGGUGUAGCAGUGAAAUGCGUAGAUAUCGUGAGGAACACCAGAGGCGAAGGCGGUUUCCUGGACAGUUACUGACGCUCAGGCACGAAAGCGUGGGGAGCAAAAGGG